AGAGUUUGAUCCUGGCUCAGAAUGAACGCUGGCGGCGUGCUUAACACAUGCAAGUCGCACGAGAACGCUUUAGCUUGCUAAAGCAAGUAAAGUGGCGCACGGGUGAGUAACGCGUGGGCAAUCUACCUCCGAAUCGGGGAUAACAUUGCGAAAGCGAUGCUAAUACCGGAUGACAUCCUGAAGGCUUUGGUUUUAAGGAUCAAAGGUGGCCUCUACAAGUAAGCUACUGUUUGGAGAUGAGCCCGCGUACCAUUAGCUUGUUGGUAGGGUAACGGCCUACCAAGGCGACGAUGGUUAGCUGGUCUGAGAGGAUGAUCAGCCACACUGGAACUGACACACGGUCCAGACUCCUACGGGAGGCAGCAGUGAGGAAUUUUGCGCAAUGGGGGAAACCCUGACGCAGCAACGCCGCGUGAGUGAUGAAGGCUUUCGGGUCGUAAAGCUCUGUCAAGUGGGAAGAAACCACGAGGUGAUAAUAUCGCUUUGUGCUGACGGUACCACUGAAGGAAGCACCGGCUAACUCCGUGCCAGCAGCCGCGGUAAUACGGGGGGUGCAAGCGUUAUUCGGAAUCAUUGGGCGUAAAGGGCGCGUAGGCGGUUUGUUAAGUCAGAUGUGAAAGCCCGGGGCUCAACCCCGGAAGUGCAUUUGAUACUGGCGGACUUGAGUAUGGGAGAGGGAAGUGGAAUUCCUGGUGUAGAGGUGAAAUUCGUAGAUAUCAGGAGGAACACCGGUGGCGAAGGCGACUUCCUGGACCAAUACUGACGCUGAGGCGCGAAGGCGUGGGUAGCAAACAGGAUUAGAUACCCUGGUAGUCCACGCAGUAAACGGUGAUCACUAGGUGUAGCGGGUAUUGACCCCUGCUGUGCCGCAGUUAACGCAUUAAGUGAUCCGCCUGGGGAGUACGGCCGCAAGGUUAAAACUCAAAGGAAUUGACGGGGGCCCGCACAAGCGGUGGAGCAUGUGGUUUAAUUCGACGCAACGCGAAGAACCUUACCUGGGUUUGACAUCUCGGGGAUUUUUUGGAAACAAGAAAGUGCCCUUCGGGGAGCCCGAAGACAGGUGCUGCAUGGCUGUCGUCAGCUCGUGUCGUGAGAUGUUGGGUUAAGUCCCGCAACGAGCGCAACCCUUAUCUUUAGUUACCAUCACUUCGGGUGGGGACUCUAAAGAUACUGCCCCGGUCAACGGGGAGGAAGGUGGGGAUGACGUCAAGUCCUCA
This 1217-nucleotide ribosomal RNA is filed under the name metagenome. RNAcentral's name for it is "bacterial SSU rRNA". It matches the Rfam family "Bacterial small subunit ribosomal RNA", at positions 8 to 1195 of the family's 1533-position model. The record is from RNAcentral.